Xyrichtys novacula (pearly razorfish) is the source of this 306-nucleotide non-coding RNA. NCBI's taxonomy places the organism in Eukaryota, Metazoa, Chordata, Actinopteri, Labriformes, Labridae. The record is from the annotation of a GenBank genome assembly.
CUUCUUUUAUUUUAUGAUCUUCAUCUCAUCAUAUCUUCUGUUGUCCCCUGAAAUAUCUCUGCUUAGUUAUAAACUCCAAGACCACGGGAAACCUGACCUCCACAGGGACUUGACCUCCACAGGGACCGCUGAGGAGGACCUAAUCCACAUCAGGACUCGCCACUCUGCAGCCCAUGUUAGCACAUCCUAUUUGAUAUAUAUCUAUUUUAAACUUAUCUACAUUAAAUAUACUUACUUAAAAUUAUCUACAUUAAAUACAUCUACUUUAAAUAUAUCUACUAUACAUAUAUCUACUUUAAACACAUC